Long non-coding RNA from Cimex lectularius (bed bug), 716 nucleotides. RefSeq lists it as uncharacterized. The record is from RefSeq and is a predicted model, not a curated record. Lineage: Eukaryota; Metazoa; Arthropoda; Insecta; Hemiptera; Cimicidae. The transcript has 2 exons.
AAAUUAUUACAUUAAAAAAUACAUUUCAGUUACUGUCACAUAUGAUCUUUUAUUGUCAGUAGUUAGUAACAUGUAUGUACUAAUUGUAUUUUAGAAACAAGAGUAGGACAAUGUAAAAAAAAAAGAAAAAUAGUUUUUUUAUUCGGAUGCUAAGCAUGUUUUUGAGUGAAUAUUUAUUGAGUAAAUUCAAUCAUCCAGUUCAUUCAGAGAAGAUGAAUACACUUCGGCACUACAAUGAAUAUAACGAUUAAUGCUGGGGAGGAGAGAUUGAACUGGACUACAAAAUUUGAGAAAGCAGUCAUGUUUGUUGCGCUAGCUAUCUAUGCUUAUGAAAAAUUUGGAAUGAAGUUUAUUUUAAUAUGUUCCAUUCCUGUACUCAUAGUCUGCAUCUUUUUCUUUCUAAUUUGUUCCAUCAUCACCCUCCCCCAGUCAAUAUGCUGCAAGUAUUUACAGCCUGAAGAUGAAGAAUUCUGCGGUCAAAGAAUUUGCGUAGAAUACAAAGAAGAUACACAAAAACAAAUCAAACUUGAACCGUAAUUUACUUAAUGUUUGUAACAUACAUGGAAAAUGUUAAUGAUGAAACUUAUGUUCACUUCUAAAUUAAUAGUUCUCUAGUAUAAAAAAACUUAUAAUAUAAACGCUAUGACUAUAUAAUAGUUAUAAAAAAUUAAGCAAGUCUAAAGGAAGGUCACUUAGUAAAUUGUCUUAUUUCUCAA